CAGUUGAGCGCUGAAGGUUGGUACUUGUACCAACUGGAUGAGCAGCGAACGGGUGAGUAACGCGUGGGGAAUCUGCCUUUGAGCGGGGGACAACAUUUGGAAACGAAUGCUAAUACCGCAUAAAAACUUUAAACACAAGUUUUAAGUUUGAAAGAUGCAAUUGCAUCACUCAAAGAUGAUCCCGCGUUGUAUUAGCUAGUUGGUGAGGUAAAGGCUCACCAAGGCGAUGAUACAUAGCCGACCUGAGAGGGUGAUCGGCCACAUUGGGACUGAGACACGGCCCAAACUCCUACGGGAGGCAGCAGUAGGGAAUCUUCGGCAAUGGACGAAAGUCUGACCGAGCAACGCCGCGUGAGUGAAGAAGGUUUUCGGAUCGUAAAACUCUGUUGGUAGAGAAGAACGUUGGUGAGAGUGGAAAGCUCAUCAAGUGACGGUAACUACCCAGAAAGGGACGGCUAACUACGUGCCAGCAGCCGCGGUAAUACGUAGGUCCCGAGCGUUGUCCGGAUUUAUUGGGCGUAAAGCGAGCGCAGGUGGUUUAUUAAGUCUGGUGUAAAAGGCAGUGGCUCAACCAUUGUAUGCAUUGGAAACUGGUAGACUUGAGUGCAGGAGAGGAGAGUGGAAUUCCAUGUGUAGCGGUGAAAUGCGUAGAUAUAUGGAGGAACACCGGUGGCGAAAGCGGCUCUCUGGCCUGUAACUGACACUGAGGCUCGAAAGCGUGGGGAGCAAACAGGAUUAGAUACCCUGGUAGUCCACGCCGUAAACGAUGAGUGCUAGAUGUAGGGAGCUAUAAGUUCUCUGUAUCGCAGCUAACGCAAUAAGCACUCCGCCUGGGGAGUACGACCGCAAGGUUGAAACUCAAAGGAAUUGACGGGGGCCCGCACAAGCGGUGGAGCAUGUGGUUUAAUUCGAAGCAACGCGAAGAACCUUACCAGGUCUUGACAUACUCGUGCUAUUCCUAGAGAUAGGAAGUUCCUUCGGGACACGGGAUACAGGUGGUGCAUGGUUGUCGUCAGCUCGUGUCGUGAGAUGUUGGGGUUAAGUCCCGCAACGAGCGCAACCCCUAUUGUUAGUUGCCAUCAUUAAGUUGGGCACUCUAACGAGACUGCCGGUGAUAAACCGGAGGAAGGUGGGGAUGACGUCAAAUCAUCAUGCCCCUUAUGACCUGGGCUACACACGUGCUACAAUGGAUGGUACAACGAGUCGCGAGACAGUGAUGUUUAGCUAAUCUCUUAAAACCAUUCUCAGUUCGGAUUGUAGGCUGCAACUCGCCUACAUGAAGUCGGAAUCGCUAGUAAUCGCGGAUCAGCACGCCGCGGUGAAUACGUUCCCGGGCCUUGUACACACCGCCCGUCACACCACGGGAGUUGGGAGUACCCGAAGUAGGUUGCCUAACCGCAAGGAGGGC
This 1408-nucleotide ribosomal RNA is filed under the name Lactococcus lactis subsp. lactis. RNAcentral's name for it is "bacterial SSU rRNA". It matches the Rfam family "Bacterial small subunit ribosomal RNA". The record is from RNAcentral. Lineage: Bacteria; Bacillati; Bacillota; Bacilli; Lactobacillales; Streptococcaceae.